This is a long non-coding RNA of Scylla paramamosain (green mud crab), 5192 nucleotides long. RefSeq lists it as uncharacterized. Lineage: Eukaryota; Metazoa; Arthropoda; Malacostraca; Decapoda; Portunidae. The transcript is spliced from 3 exons. The record is from RefSeq and is a predicted model, not a curated record.
GAGUCUCAGCAUCGUCUUCUUCUGUUACCUUCUUCAUCUUUCUCCUUUCAGAUAUGCUGAGAAGAGAAUAUGCAAAGAGCAGCUGCCUCCUCACUGCGUUGCGAUCCCAAGGCUGCUUUAGCCGCUCCGUCUUUCUGUUAAUUUUCUUAGUAUUUCCCCGGGAAGUUACGAAAUUGGAUAGCAGAAAACCAGUCUCCUUGUAGUUCCAGUCCAAAGCCUGUGGACACUGACCUUCUCCGUGGUGAUCUCCGGGGGGUACUCCACUGUGAUGGUCAUCGCCGCAGAAGCAGAUUCACCGAUGCCGUUGUCCGCCGUGCAGAGCACCACCACCACCACCGCCACCACCACCAUCACCACAAGACCACCACUUCUCGCAAUGGACUCCCUCUGCGCCGUAAAGAAUGGGGGCUAUCAGCAAGACGGAUCCCCUCGGUCACAAUACGUCCAUCCUUCCCUCCGCAGGUCACAGUGUCAGUCAUUUUAACGGGAACAACAAACAAUACGGGGAGACACAAGGCGGCCGCCACUCAGCCUCGCUCCCCUUGCACUUACAUUGCAUGCAAGUUGGAUUGUUGUUGGUGCGAUGCUCAUGACAACGCUUUGAUGCGAAUGCUGAAUGAUCCCGACCCUUGUGUGUGUCCGUGUGUGUGUGUGUGUGUGUGUGUGUAUUAUUUUCUUUUUUUUUUCUCUCAAAAUUUCUUGUGUGUUUAUCUUUUUUUUCUCUCAAAAUUUCUUGUGUGUUUAUCUUAUUUUCUUAUUUUUUUCCUCAUUUUCUUGUUUUUUCCUUAUUUUGUUUUCUUUUUUCUUAAUUUUUUAUCCUUAUAUUUUAUGUCUUUCUCUUUUCUUAUGUCUUUUCCUUGUUUUAUGUUUUUUUCACAUUUUUUCUUUUGUUUUUUUCCUUUAUAUUCUUACGUUUACCCCUUAUUUUCUUGUAUCCCUCAUUUUCUUAUGCCUCCCCUUAUUUUCUUGUUUUUCCUCAUUUUUCUAUCUUUCCCUUUAUUUUUUUUAUUUUCCAUACUUUCUGAUGUUUUUCCAUAUAUUUUUUUACAAGCUCUUGUUGGAUGGGAAUGAUAGGUGGUAAUAGAUAGGUAUGUUUUAUACAGGAAUUACCACAACCAAGCCACGUAACUUCUUGCAGUCUUCCUUAUAUUUUUAACAGUAUAUUCUUGGUAUGUUCUGAUAUUUGGUUUAUUGAUCUUCCAGUCUUACAGCUGAAAAUUCACGUUACAUACUUAUAUACUAACAUACAUGCUACAUCUUAAGUACACAUUUAACCUUAAGGAAGUAUCUCACAUUUCGAUACAGUGGCUGCCUUAGUAGACAAGGCCCGGGAUGGGAUGGUCAGGCCAACUCGUGUGUAUUUUUUUCCUUUCAGAGCUUGUUUCUCCUUCUGUGUGUGUGUGUGUGUGUGUGUAUGUGUGUGUGUGUGAAUCAUAUUACAGCAAACGCGAUGCUUUCGAAUAUCAAAUGAAUAGUAAUGUUGUAUCGAGGUUCUUUGGUCUUUUGUAGCGGACAAUGAAAUACUUCGUAACAAAUAAUAGGUCUUACUUGAAACUAAUAAUAAUAAAGUUGAAAAAUUAUCUCCUCCUUUGAUGUAUUUUUGUUCUGGGAAUGAAAGAAAAUAAAAAAGAAAAAGAGGGAUCCAUUGUUCAUUUUCGAGGAGAGAAUUAGAAUCACAUUGAAAUAUUCAGAAGUACAUUCUUUUCACAUUUCCAAGCUAUGGUUUUUGUAUAUAAUAAUAAAGACAGACAAAUAAAGCAUGCCGGGUGCUGUUCUGGUCUCGGCAAGAAAUAAAACAUUGACCUGAGAAUGAACACCAAAAAAUUAUGCGAGAAAAGCCAAGGAUUUCUUAAUUCAGUGACUGUGCACGCCCAGUUUUCCCUCUUAUUAUUUUGUAAUCGAGUUGAUCUUUUUUUACCCGAAGUGAAAGGAGCGGUGAGACCAAAGGGCCAAUUUACAGUCCUCUUUACUCACCCCCGUCUGCCAGUUAGGGCCAAAGACCAGCGUAGUAUAAAGGCCGCAGUCAUGGCGCACUUGGUAUAUUGAAUGCACAAAGUAAAAUAUAAAGUUGUGAGCGCCGCAUAUCCUCCUCCCACGCACGCCCACCUCUCCAUUACGUCUCUAAACGCUGCAGGGACGGUUCACUGAGGAGCUGUUGGGAAUCUGUUUAUCUGCGGCGCCACCAGCAUCAAGAUGAGGCGGGAUUUCUCUCCAUCACCCCUCACUCUCUACCUGCCUCCCUCACCAUCGUCCCAGACCUCGUCCCGACCCCCGCCUCAGCCGAAAAGAAAACAGGGAGAAUCUGCUCCUGGCGUUUAGUGACCUGAGGACUGGCGGUGUAAAAUUUGGAAUGAUACCUUCCUUACCUCUUGGCCGCCUCCUUAAUCUUUAGGGCCAUCUUGUAGCACGUGGAGGAACGUGAGAGGUGUGUGGAGUCUCCUCCAGAUCUUUCCUCACUGCCUUCUGCGGGACUGUUGAGGCUCCACUGUGUUGUGACUCGUGGGCGUUCAUAAAGUCAGAUAAGAGCUGCAGUGUGGGAUAAUUCUUAAAAUUAUAGUAAGGACUUAUAGCUUACGAAUUUCAGUAAGCUGUAUGCUAGUAAGAUAGCCACUGAAUAUUAGGAGAUAAGGUUCCAUUGAGGGAAGGAUGUGCAAGGGACCGACUGGCUUUAGGGGUGGUGUUGGUGCUUGGUCCAGCAAAGCGUUUACCGGAGGCGUGUGUUUAUUAUGCCAGUCAUCACUUAUGCAAGCCUGGCCCGGCCUCGUAAAUUCGCGGCAUUUGCAAGGAACCCUCAGAGCGGAAUUAUGUGGGGAAAUAUGAAAGCUUACGAUUAAUACCUGGGUGUGAGGCAGAGAGAAGGAAGGAGGGAGGCAGGCAGGCUUACACUCUUUGCAUCUUGACAGACCUGCUGUGUUUCAGAGGCAGGAAGAAAGGCUGAACGUAGAAAGCACGAAUAACCGCAGCCGUGCAAAUGAAACACUUGUGACGGUGUUUAAAAAUGUUCGGAUCUUGUGUAAAAAAUGUGGAAACUAAAUUCAAAUGUUCACUGAGUGGGGAAGAAAGUUCUUACAAGUUGGGAUUUAUUUUCAACUUUCUCUGGCAAACCAAUUUCGCAGUUCCUUCUGCUCAGCCACACAUAUUCCAGUGACUUCCUGCAAGUCUUUUCUGUUUCAUUGGCAAGAUCUGAAUAUGAUUCCUUUCCUCAUUGUUCUGCGAUGAUUUUUGUUUUAACGUGUAUUUUUUAUUGAGACAGUUGUGCGGCGCGCGAGGAGGGACAACUUUCAAAGGCAACUUUUAGCAGGAAACUAAUGGCCCGCCAGACGGAGUGGCUCGCUCCUCUUACUGUGCCAGUAGUCCAGAAUAACUUCUUUAUCUUUAUUCUAUUAAAGUAAAUAAGAUGUUCGGGCUUGUUGUGUGGAAAAUAUAAUUGUUUUUACUGACUCGUUACUUGGUCCCCAAGAGAGUUGAUCAAUAUCAUGAUUAGGAACUUCAAAUUCAAAGAGCAUCAAUUGCGUUUCUCGGAACUCAGGAACUCAAUUUUUCAGUCAGGCAGGCAUCAGGUGGAAGCUUCAAGGAUGGAGCCAAGGGUCUCGGCGCCCCGGAGAACCAGUGAGCGUGAAAUCAAACCGCUGGAGCGCUCGUAUCCGACUGAUAAACUAACCCGAGUGAGUCUCCGGAAAGCAAGGUUCAGCGCCACUCGGCGCAGGUUGUGAGUCGCUUCCGUGCUGCUCUUCCUCCGCCCCACCGGCCAGUCGCGGCAGACCGAAGGAGGCCGUGCAUGAUAUGAGGCCCCAAGGUUGCGUGAUUUUGUACCGAGAACGAGUUUUGCAUUCACCUUUGUUUUGAACUCACUUUUGACCAAGUAUGCUAGAGAGUCGUAUUGAUUCCUAAUUCCGGAAUAAUGGUCAAAAUGCGAGUAAUACAGGAAGCUUUUUUUGCAAUUAGAACCAAAGUCGAGAUUUUUUACAUCUGGUUGGCUCGUGCGUGUUUCCAGGAGAACACCGCUUCUCUGCAACCUGCAAGUCCAUCCCCACUUAAUGCACCGCAGCCCGCGGCACAAGAAGGGCGUUGCCUCGGUCACCUAGGGUAAGCGGAUUAGAGGAAGUCCUUGCCAGUCCUGCAUUUUUUUUUUCUGCACGUGUAGAGGAACAUGAUGUGAGACGCACUAAUUUAGUGUCGUGUCACCUGAGGCCCCAACUUGCCGCAAGAUCAAGUCCAGGGGAAGGCGUAAAGAUGCUAAUCAGAUUUUUGCUUGUGAGAUGUUGCCCAAUGUCAAUAAGCUUCCUAAAGCACGGGGAAGAACAGCAUUUAGACGAGAAAAGAGGCACGAUUUGAGAGAGAUAACCCAAGGCAAAGUAAAUGAUAAUGAUGAUGAUGACAAUAAUCCUCGUAUUAACAUCUGCACCCGCUGAACCCACACCACCACCCUCGCUCCCUAGACACCGUGACAGACAUUGUACUAAUAAUUUUUCAACAUUAUCCUUGGGCGAGGGAAACAAGGAGGGGAGCGCAGUAUACCAGGGCUCAGUUAGAGGGGAAGGAAGAGCGAGGCGGGGAAAUGCACUGGAACUUGGGCGUGAGGGGAGAAAGAGAGAGAGGGGAAGGAAGAGGGCGUAACAAGUCUAGAAUCUUAGGAGAGGGAGAGGAAGAAGGGGACACGGAGAAAGACUUGGAUAGGAAGGCAUGGAGAGAAAGAAGAGUACAUUUGAAGGGAAUGCGACGCCGAGGGGAAUAGAAUAGGUUAGGGUAUUGAGUUGGAGGGGAGGGAGAAAAGAGGCGUAACGGGGGUCGAAGUUAUAAACAUUGUGACGUAUUGUGGAUUAUCCGAAUGGGAGACGACUAAUGGCAGGCUGGGAGAGGGAGAGUGGCGGGGCGACGAGGCGGGGAGCGUGUGGAAGGAAGCGUGUAUGCAUAGCAGUGAGCGUAAUGAGGAGGGAGGGACGGAAGGCCUGGUGACGAUAAGGGUUUGCUUUUCUGCUUCACCGCCGUGCUUCUCUCUCUCUCUCUCUCUCUCUCUCUCUCUCUCUCUCUCUCUCUCUCUCUCUCUCUCUCUCUCUCUCUCUCUCUCGUUGCCAAUACACUUGAGAACUUCCCAUAUUUAAGGUUCAGUUCCAUUGAUUUGUCUGUUGGUGCGAGUGAUAGCAGCACACACAGACACACACACGCACGCAUAUGCACACGCACACACAAAC